Molecule: ribosomal RNA, 253 nt
Filed under: uncultured bacterium
Lineage: Bacteria
Description: partial 16S ribosomal RNA
Rfam family: Bacterial small subunit ribosomal RNA
Source: RNAcentral
UACAGAGGUCUCAAGCGUUGUUCGGAUUCAUUGGGCGUAAAGGGUGCGUAGGCGGCGGAGUAAGUUGGGUGUGAAAUCCCGGGGCUCAACCUCGGAAUGGCAUUCAAUACUGCUUCGCUAGAGUACUGGAGAGGAGGCUGGAAUUUACGGUGUAGCAGUGAAAUGCGUAGAUAUCGUAAGGAAGGCCGGUGGCGAAAGCGAGCCUCUGGACAGUUACUGACGCUGAUGCACGAAGGCCAGGGGAGCAAACGGG